AGAGUUUGAUCAUGGCUCAGGAUGAACGCUAGCGGCAGGCCUAACACAUGCAAGUCGAGGGGUAACGAUGUNUUNGGACAGGCGACGACCGGCGCACGGGUGAGUAUCGCGUUUGUAACCUACCUUUAACUGGAGAAUAGCCCGAAGAAAUUCGGAUUAAUACUCCAUAACACUAUGAUCUGGCAUCUUAUUAUAGUUAAAGCUCCGGCGGUUAAAGAUGGACAUGCGUAACAUUAGAUUGUUGGUGAGGUAACGGCUCACCAAGUCUACGAUGUUUAGGGGGUCUGAGAGGAUGGUCCCCCACACUGGUACUGAGACACGGACCAGACUCCUACGGGAGGCAGCAGUGAGGAAUAUUGGUCAAUGGGCGCAAGCCUGAACCAGCCAUGCCGCGUGAAGGAUGACAGCGCUACGCGUUGUAAACUUCUUUUGUACAGGAAGAAACGCUUCUACGUGUAGAAGUUUGACGGUACUGUACGAAUAAGCAUCGGCUAACUCCGUGCCAGCAGCCGCGGUAAUACGGAGGAUGCAAGCGUUAUCCGGAUUUAUUGGGUUUAAAGGGUACGUAGGCGGAAAAUUAAGUCAGUAGUGAAAUCCUGCAGCUUAACUGUAGAACUGUUAUUGAUACUGGUUUUCUUGAAUACAGUUGAGGUAGGCGGAAUGUGUAAUGUAGCGGUGAAAUGCUUAGAUAUUACACAGAACACCGAUUGCGAAGGCAGCUUACUAAGCUAUGAUUGACGCUGAGGUACGAAAGCGUGGGGAGCGAACAGGAUUAGAUACCCUGGUAGUCCACGCCGUAAACGAUGAUCACUCGUUGUUGGCAAUACAUCGUCAGCGACUGAGCGAAAGCAUUAAGUGAUCCACCUGGGGAGUACGCUCGCAAGAGUGAAACUCAAAGGAAUUGACGG
Molecule: ribosomal RNA, 908 nt
Filed under: uncultured bacterium
Lineage: Bacteria
Description: bacterial SSU rRNA
Rfam family: Bacterial small subunit ribosomal RNA
Source: RNAcentral